GGUGUUGUGGCUCAGUGGUAGAGCACUUGCCUAGCAUGUGUGAGAUCCUGGGUUUGAGUCUCAGCAACACAU
This is a non-coding RNA of Ictidomys tridecemlineatus (thirteen-lined ground squirrel), 72 nucleotides long. NCBI's taxonomy places the organism in Eukaryota, Metazoa, Chordata, Mammalia, Rodentia, Sciuridae. The record is from Rfam.